Molecule: ribosomal RNA, 497 nt
Filed under: uncultured bacterium
Lineage: Bacteria
Description: partial 16S ribosomal RNA
Rfam family: Bacterial small subunit ribosomal RNA
Source: RNAcentral
GAUGAACGCUGGCGGCGUGCCUAAUACAUGCAAGUCGAGCGAACAGACGAGGAGCUUGCUCCUCUGACGUUAGCGGCGGACGGGUGAGUAACACGUGGAUAACCUACCUAUAAGACUGGGAUAACUUCGGGAAACCGGAGCUAAUACCGGAUAAGAUAUUGAACCGCAUGGUUCAAUAGUGAAAGACGGUUUUGCUGUCACGUAUAGAUGGAUCCGCGCCGCAUUAGCUAGUUGGUAAGGUAACGGCUUACCAAGGCGACGAUGCGUAGCCGACCUGAGAGGGUGAUCGGCCACACUGGAACUGAGACACGGUCCAGACUCCUACGAGAGGCACCAGUAGGGAAUCUUCCGCAAUGGGCGAAAGCCUGACGGAGCAACGCCGAGUGAGUGAUGAAGGUCUUCGGAUCGUAAAACUCUGUUAUUAGGGAAGAACAAAUGUGUAAGUAACUAUGCACGUCUUGACGGUACCUAAUCAGAAAGCCACGGCUAACUACGUG